AUUGAACGCUGGCGGCAUGCCUUACACAUGCAAGUCGAACGGCAGCAUGAUCUAGCUUGCUAGAUUGAUGGCGAGUGGCGAACGGGUGAGUAAUACAUCGGAACGUGCCCUGUAGUGGGGGAUAACUAGUCGAAAGAUUAGCUAAUACCGCAUACGACCUGAGGGUGAAAGUGGGGGGCCGCAAGGCCUCAUGCUAUAGGAGCGGCCGAUGUCUGAUUAGCUAGUUGGUGAGGUAAAGGCUCACCAAGGCGACGAUCAGUAGCUGGUCUGAGAGGACGAUCAGCCACACUGGGACUGGGACACGGCCCAGACUCCUACGGGAGGCAGCAGUGGGGAAUUUUGGACAAUGGGCGAAAGCCUGAUCCAGCAAUGCCGCGUGUGUGAAGAAGGCCUUCGGGUUGUAAAGCACUUUUGUCCGGAAAGAAAUGGCUCUGGUUAAUACCUGGGGUCGAUGACGGUACCGGAAGAAUAAGGACCGGCUAACUACGUG
Molecule: ribosomal RNA, 490 nt
Filed under: uncultured bacterium
Lineage: Bacteria
Description: partial 16S ribosomal RNA
Rfam family: Bacterial small subunit ribosomal RNA
Source: RNAcentral